GGGGCUCCCGGCCAGGCCCAGCUCCGCGGGAGCGCCCGUCACCCUCUCCCAGACCAGCUCUGGGCAGCGCCGGGGGGCGCAGGCACAGGCUAGGGGCCUCCUCCUGCCUUUGCGUCCGGCUGUCCGUUGAUCUGUCCGAGGCCCUGGCGGCAGUUUAUGAUUCUUCAUCAACGCGUAAAAUGCGAUCGUCGGAGCCCCGAGACUGUUUUGCGUCCCUGGAACCUAGCAGGAGCUUAUCAAAGACACCGCCGCCCCGGGGACAAUCCCUGGUGUCAGGCAAGACUGCCCCGCCAGCUCGAACCCCGGGACCCAGCUCAGGAGGCAGCCAGCCGCUUGCCAGACCCGGGGCCGUGAACGCCGGAGCCGAGCGGAAGAUUUCCGUGGGUCUGCGAUCCGCGCCUCGGCUCGCAGGGAGGUGGCUACUCUGGGCGCUCGGGAAAGCAGGGUUGUUGCUAAUGCGGGUGCUGCGUUUUGAUCGCACUGAGAAGCUGUCACUUUCCUUACAUGAGAACAAGACUUCAGGAAGGACUGGCAAUGGGCAGCAGAGAAACUGAAUGUUCCAACAGCCUUUUUCAAGUAGCCUGAGAUUCCCCGAGAAAGCAUGGGUCCUAACGGCUCAAGAUGCGUUCUCCGGGGAGCUGGAGGCUCAGGGAUCCAAGGCCAGGUUCUAGUGGGCCUCACCCACCGGCCUCGGCUCUCAGCUGCCCCUGCCCGGUCUUCCCCUCCCCUCCGUGCCCUUUGUUUAAACUUCCCUCAUCCAAGGUGGCCCCUCUGGGACCAUAAGUUUGCCCUCUCUUUGUAACCUAAUUCUUCUCGCCUUUUCCUAUGGGCAUCUAAUUGGCCAGCGGUGGAGGGGAGAUUCAAAGAAAUCAGUUUGCUUAAGGACUGCCUUCCAUAGGGAUAUUUAAUUGGCAACCCAGCGACCUUCGAGCCCCACACUGGGGAUGUGCCUUGAGGGGUACUGAGGAGGAAGAGGGGGCCUGCUUUAGCCAGAGGGGUUCAGAAGUCCCCAUAGGGUAAGGCCUCAAAUCUGCUCAGGCCUGCAGCCAUCCCCCCACCCAGGGGUUCUGCAAUGGAGGGACCAGGACUCCAACAGCCCCUUCUGCUCGCUGGGGUUCAUUUUCAGCCCCCCAAAUGUGAAGGCUUCUUCUCCUCUCUGGCCUCCAUGAUGGCUUUCCCACCCUUUACGUCUUUAGGGCCGUUUCGAAUCGUAAAACCCGGGCUGAGAAGUCUCAGCGCCCUGGGCUGAGGUGCCUGCGAGAUCAUGUAUCUCCUUAUCAGGUUCUAACCACCCACCUCCAAGCCGUACAGCCUCCCCCAUAGGCCCUGCUGAGACCUGCAGACAAUCGGUCAGCGUUUCUCCUUCCUUCAAGCACAGGCACGGUUUACUCAGAGAGCCUGGCGGUCCUGCGGCCCGGCAGCAUGACAACUGGUAAAUCCGUUUCGUUAGACGCAAUUUGUUUGCAAUUUGUCGACCCGGCUGGGAAACUCUCUCCAGACGCCUGGGUAGCCGCAACGGCCCUACCUGCUUCUCAAAU
This is a long non-coding RNA of Lynx canadensis (Canada lynx), 1538 nucleotides long. RefSeq lists it as uncharacterized. The transcript has 3 exons. The record is from RefSeq and is a predicted model, not a curated record. Lineage: Eukaryota; Metazoa; Chordata; Mammalia; Carnivora; Felidae.